GGUCAUGAGUACCAGCGUCAAGCCCCGGCUCGCUGGUCGGCAACCCUCCUCCGCGGUGGGGUGCUCCGGGUGACGACCUGGCCACGCACCGGAAUCUCCCGAGUGCGGCAAGUGCGGAUU
This 120-nucleotide non-coding RNA is filed under the name Nocardia terpenica. Its description in RNAcentral is "SAM-IV sequence". It matches the Rfam family "SAM (S-adenosyl methionine) riboswitch aptamer". From Rfam's summary of the family: SAM-IV is a mRNA element that regulates gene expression via direct sensing of S-adenosylmethionine (SAM or AdoMet). SAM-IV riboswitches share conserved nucleotide positions with the previously described SAM-I riboswitches sequence analysis and molecular recognition experiments suggest that SAM-I and SAM-IV riboswitches share similar ligand binding sites, but have different scaffolds. The record is from Rfam by way of RNAcentral. Lineage: Bacteria; Bacillati; Actinomycetota; Actinomycetes; Mycobacteriales; Nocardiaceae.